This 245-nucleotide unclassified non-coding RNA is filed under the name rhizosphere metagenome. RNAcentral describes it as "partial ribosomal RNA internal transcribed spacer region". The record is from RNAcentral.
GUAGGUGAACCUGCGGAAGGAUCAUUAAUAGAUAGGGCCGUGCCAGCGAGAGCUGACCGGUUCAAUCCAUUCAAACCACCGUGAACUCUCCUAGUUUCUUCCGUGGGGCUGCGUCUCCGGACGCCCGACUGCCAACGCGGUCGGUGUACCCGCGGCAAGACUAUUACCCAACUCUUUGUUAUGUGUGCCUGUCUGAACAAACAAGUUAAUUCUUAAAACUUUCAACAACGGAUCUCUUGGUUCUC